Molecule: unclassified non-coding RNA, 2930 nt
Filed under: Leishmania donovani
Lineage: Eukaryota; Euglenozoa; Kinetoplastea; Trypanosomatida; Trypanosomatidae
Description: gene:LdHU3.36.4030(CDS-product:Nodulin-like/Major _Facilitator_Superfamily_putative)
Source: RNAcentral
ACCCACAACGCAGAGCAGCAGUAUCUUUCUUGUGUCACUUCACACACACACACACAAAGACGCUAUUCGUUUCCUUUACUCUUGUUUUGGUUUUGUGGUGGUGGUUCUUGUGGAUACGUCUGCGCCCUCCUUUUUUGUUGUUGUUUAUUUGGCUCUCUUGUCUCCACCCCUUUCUUUCGAUCGUAUCACCGACGUAUCGUGUUGCUUUCGUUUUAUCCGACACAGUCGGUUAUACAUAUACGUAUAUACACUCCUUUGGGGUGUUUCCAGUCUUCCGGUGUUUGUAGUCAGUGAUAGGAUACAUUGCCGUUGCUAGGUUUCCAGUCCAAACCGAAAGAACACACACACGCACAAGCAUAUCCCGCUCUCACACCUUCCUUCUCUCUGCGACUUACUUGGCUGGCGAACAUCCUUCCGCUGCACUGGACCGUACAUGCAAUGGUACCUCCUGCGAAGAUGUUCGACAGUUUCAAGCACACCUUCAGUCAAACCAAGUACGUCUCCCACCGGGAGGCGUGCGGGUUGCACGUGAUUGAUGAGGUUAAGCGCUUCCGCGCGCUGGUGUGCGUGCUGUUCUGCAGCAUCUGCGUCUCGCUUGUGUUCGCCUUCGACCUCUUCAGUGAGGAGUUCCAAAGCCGCUUCCAUCUCUCCGAUGGUGAUCUCUCCACGAUCAGCACGGUCGGUGUCGUGUUCUGCUACUUUGUCAUUCCGUAUGGUGUGCUGUACGAUCAUAUCGGCCCCCUGCCACUGCUUGUGAUUGCCGGUAUGAUGGGGUUCAUCGGCUGCCUUGGCCUCGGGCUCGUCUUCGACGGAAAAAUCAAGGGCAACACCGUGACCAUCUCCAUCUUCUACGCCUUCAUGAACACGUGCAGUGGUCUCUUCGACGCCGCGUCGAUUGUCACGCUGGUGGAGCUGUUCCCACGAAACCGUGGUCCUGUCAUCGGGCUGGCCAAGGUGAUGACGGGUCUGGGCAGCUCCGUCAUCUCCUCCAUCAAUCGCGGCUUCUUCUCGAACAACAUCAGCGGCUUCAUCUACCUCAUCAUGGUCCUCACGGUGGUUGUCGCGCUGAUGGCGAUGCUUCUCAUUGCACUGCCUCCGUAUUUUGUGAACUGGUGGCGCGCCCGCAACAAGACAGAGGAGCAGAUUGCCGCCCUGACGUCGCUGAAGGGCAUCUACGCGAAGAAGUUCGUUCCGUUGCGCCGCAUUGCGUACGGCUACGUCAUCGUGGCCUGCCUCGUCAUUUUCUUUGCCAUCACGGCCCCGAUACUGGCGUACACGAAGGUGUCACGCGGUGGCAAGGCGGUAGUGGGUGGCAUCACGGUGGUGCUGUGCAUGUCCUUCUGGGUGAUGGCGCUGCCGAUUCCCUGGCUGGGCGGUGUGAGCGAGCCGGCGGAGCAGCAGAGCAGCACCUUCGACGACACCGAGGGCAGCAAGCCGAAUGUCCUGACUUCCGUGGAGCCGCUGGAGACCAGCAACAAGCCCCUCAGCACUUCUCCCGUCAGCGACGAUGAUGCGGCGCGCAAGCAGUCUCUUGUUGGCGUCGAGGCCGUCAUCGAGGAUGGUCCGCAGGACCCUCGCUAUGGUGGCACGAUCUGGGAGACGCUCAUGCGCCCUGACAUUUGGCUCAUCCUCAUUGCGUUUGUCUGCCAGGGUGUCCUCGGUACGAUCGUUACGUACAACGGCAGCACCAUCUACGUCGCUCGCACAGGUCGCCCGCGUACCGCGGAGCUGGGCUCUCUCUACACGGCCCUCCUCGGUGUGGGCAGCGCCGUGGGUCGCAUCUCGAUGGGUCUGUUCGAGGCGUACGUGCAGCACCAGGACCCGAAGAACCGCAAGGUGCUUGUGACGAUCGCCCUGCCUGUCGCCCCGAUCAUUGCCACAAUCGCCGGCAUUCUGAUCCUUGUUCUUCCUGGUGACGCUCUCCUCCUUCCGUACAUCCUCGUCUACUUCGAAGAGGGCGUCUUCAACGGCGUGCGCGCGCUCAUCUUCCCCUGCAUCUUCGCUGAUCACCACGGCAUCCUGUACAACAUGAGCUUCUUCACCAACGUCAUUGGCGUCAUCGGCUUCAAUCGCUUCCUCUUCGGCCUCACCGUGGACAAGGAGCGCGAAAAGAUGGGCCACACGGUAGAGCAGGGCUGCACGUCCCAUGCGUGCGUUCAGACACCCAUCAUCGUCGUCACGUGCACGGCAGCCUUUGCGGUGGUGCUGGCGACCAUGGUACACCUUCGCUAUGCUCGCUUCGUGAAGCAGUGCCGCAAGGCUUUGAAAGCAGCUUCGUAGACGCGCUCUAGGAUACACGCGCGAGAGGCUUGCGUAGACAUGGCCGCACUCUGUGGUUUGUAUGUAUGUGUGUGUGUGUUUCACAUAAUGCGGUGGUUUCGGUGUGCUAUCCUGCGUCCAUGCGACUGCUGCUAUUGCGUUACAAGCUCACAGAAGUCUGCAAUGUCUCCCUCCACUCCCCCCCUCACGUAUGCGCGCGCGCCUGCUCGGCCAUUUUCCGGCAUGGGCAAGUUCUUUGCGUACAUUUCUCGAUUGCGUGCAUGAAACGGGUUGUUUCGCAAGUGAUCUAGCCACGCCCGGUUUUGCUUUUCGAUUCUCCAGCAGCUCUCUUGUUCGCUUGGUGGGAGAAGCAAUGACGUAGGCUUGGCAAAAAGACCAGGAGAGCGAGGGGGGCACAAAGCAAGCUGCAUGUGGAAUAGCGCAACAACUUCCUUGGCAGUGCGUACACAAGUCGCAAGAAAGAGCGGUAGAAGGACAGAGAGAGGCAAACGAGUUGCUGUGUGUAUUGAUGCAUCGCCACGGAUGCUGCAUUUUGUUUUUGUUUGAUGUCGUCCCAGUCGCCAUCCUUCAUACACACACAACCUUCAUCUCUCAUCCCCACCCAACGCUCCUUCCGUCUUUGCCGGCGGCGUCAUCGCUCUCCACUCCAG